UAUGCUUCAUAUGGAGUGGGUAAAAAGCUCAACAUAAAUCAUUGGAAUGAGGUCAAAGUUUGGCUUUGAUCGGAAGGAUGGAUUUGCCGGGCAUGUUGGGUUAGUCAUGUAAAGUAUGUUUGGUUUGUGAUUGGGCGAUGUUGGUGGGUUGUGUUUGAUGGUUGUUUAAUGGUGGUUCUUGAUAUUGGUGGGUAUUAUUAGCUAAAUAGGCAUGGUGUAAAGGUAAGGAGGGGUUAUUAUUGUAUUGGAAGUGAUGUGGGACUCGGUAUC
This is a non-coding RNA of Lupinus albus (white lupine), 270 nucleotides long. The record is from the annotation of a GenBank genome assembly. Lineage: Eukaryota; Viridiplantae; Streptophyta; Magnoliopsida; Fabales; Fabaceae.